Molecule: long non-coding RNA, 1726 nt
Organism: Zeugodacus cucurbitae (melon fly)
Lineage: Eukaryota; Metazoa; Arthropoda; Insecta; Diptera; Tephritidae
Exons: 4
Source: RefSeq, a predicted model, not a curated record
AACUGCACAAACACAAUCAAACUUUAUCAGAUGUUUACUCAUACAAUUACAACACUUACAUUUGUUUACAACUUUGAAUUGAAUUGGAGAAAGCUUUCGUUAGAAAGAGAAAAAAUAUUGCCACUGUAAGCAUAUUGAUAUAAUAAUAUGCUAAAAGAAGACAAAUAUGACAUUAAAAAAAGAAAAACUGAAAUUGAAGCCGCAAUUUGGCCAUUUUAUAAAAAAAAUUGUCGCUUGAAGAGGAGAUAUAUAAAAGUAUUCAAUUAAAAAGGCAAAAUCAACGCACAAAGACCGGGACUUGAUACAAAAGAAAAUGUGUUAGAUGCCUGGAUGCUGGGAUGGAAUUUCUUGAUAUGUUGUUAGCAGGUUUGCGUAAGGUGUAUCCAGUCCACACCCAACAUCGUUAAAAUAUAUACAUAUAUUUAGAAUAAGAAUAAAAUAAGAUUAUAUAUCAUUUGAAUUUGUUAAAUUAGAACAUAAAUUGCAUAAAUAUAAUAAUUUAUAUAUAAAUGUAAUUUUUAUAUUAAUAACUUGUAAAUGUAAAAAUUUAAUAAUAAGUUUAACUGUUUAAGUUUAUAUGAUUGUAUUAUCUACAUAUUUGAUUUUGUAAUAAUUAAAAAUGUAAUAAAAUAAAAUAAAAAACAAAACGAAAAUAAUUAUUUUUAACUGUUAGCGGAAAAAGAUAACAAAUAUAGGUAACAAGCUGCUAACCAAAAUAAUGACCCGUACGGUAACAAAUACAUCUGUUCUGAAUAACAUAGGGAUAACAUAUAUGCUAACAUUUGCUUCAGCAGAGGUAACAUAUAUAUAACAUGCCAAAUAUGAAAAUAUAUGAGGCCAUUAACAGACUGUUAGUUGUCAAAACUUGACCAAUAGGAGACAAGUAUAAGUGUUAUCGUAGAACGAGACCACUUAUGCAAAAUGUAAUUGGAUAGAGUGAGAAAACCGUUGAACGAGUAGGGGCAUAGUGUUACUUCUUUCCCACGCUUCGAACAAAAGUAACACACAAAUUAAUUUUUGCUAAUGUUUAGAGUAACAUAGCUGUAACAUGUUAGCUAAAAAUUACCCGUCUUGCAGGGUACAAGCUAUGAUAGCUUAUGACAAGCCAACAUAAUUAUGUUGGCUAAGUCUUCCAUACAAAAUAAGCUAAUAGCUUAAUUUGCUGGUAAGAUAAAACACGCCUAUUAUGUUCCAACAAAUUAAAAAAAAAAUAUAUGAAUAAACUUAAAUCGCUUUAAAAACCUCUUUUUUUAAACAAUUUGAAUUUCAAUUAAAUUCCGAACAACCCUUUAACGACAACCUGUCAUUGGUUGUUGGGUUCUUAACGCGAGGAAAUCUAUUUAUAUUAAGGAUCCAACCCUUAAGGUAAUUGAAGGAGGAAGUUAUGUCAGCUCCGGUGUCAUCGCUAACCCUAACCGUCUUUAAAAGUUUAAUAGCCUCAUCUAAAAAAUGAAUUUACUCGGGUGUUGCCGAAAAAACUUUCUUACUAGGCAAAAUAGCUUCAAAAUUACUACUAUUAAAUAAAUCAAAUAUCCUGUUAAUAAAAUAUAUUCUGCCGUAUUACAAAAACUAGGGGAAGGACAUGUUAAACGACCGGAAUAAGCGGAUAACAUUCCGGAAGCGACUGUGUCACUGGAAACUUGCCCUGCAAGUUUGACACUCAUUUUUUGAAAAUUGUUAGGGGAAAUAUGAGCAUCUGAAAGUUUCGGUGCACAACGAAUUGGAU